This 525-nucleotide ribosomal RNA is filed under the name Enterobacter ludwigii. RNAcentral describes it as "bacterial SSU rRNA". It matches the Rfam family "Bacterial small subunit ribosomal RNA", at positions 54 to 572 of the family's 1533-position model. Lineage: Bacteria; Pseudomonadati; Pseudomonadota; Gammaproteobacteria; Enterobacterales; Enterobacteriaceae. The record is from RNAcentral.
CAUGCAGUCGAACGGUAGCACAGAGAGCUUGCUCUCGGGUGACGAGUGGCGCAUUUGUGAGUAAUGUCUGGGAAACUGCCUGAUGGAGGGGGAUAACUACUGGAAACGGUAGCUAAUACCGCAUAACGUCGCAAGACCAAAGAGGGGGACUUCGGGCCUCUUGCCAUCAGAUGUGCCCAGAUGGGAUUAGCUAGUAGGUGGGGUAACGGCUCACCUAGGCGACGAUCCCUAGCUGGUCUGAGAGGAUGACCAGCCACACUGGAACUGAGACACGGUCCAGACUCCUACGGGAGGCAGCAGUGGGUAAUAUUGCACAAUGGGCGCAAGCCUGAUGCAGCCAUGCCGCGUGUAUGAAGAAGGCCUUCGGGUUGUAAAGUACUUUCAGCGGGGAGUAAGGUGUUGAGUUUAAUAACCUCGGCAAUUGACGUUACCCGCAGAAGACGCACCGGCUAACUCCGUGCCAGCAGCCGCGGUAAUACGGAGGGUGCAAGCGUUAAUCGAAAUUACUGUGCGUAAAGCGCACGC